This 1470-nucleotide ribosomal RNA is filed under the name Triticum aestivum (bread wheat). RNAcentral describes it as "partial small subunit ribosomal RNA". The record is from RNAcentral. Lineage: Eukaryota; Viridiplantae; Streptophyta; Magnoliopsida; Poales; Poaceae.
AUGGACGCCACCGUGGUCGCCGUCGCCAGCGACGGAGAUGACGGCGACCGCCGCCGCCCCCUCCUUGAGACCGGAAACGAGAUCCUCCCAUACCCCGAAUCCCUUUCGCGGCCGCAGCCGCCGGGGGCGGAUGCGAAGCCCGAGCAGCAGAAGCCGCAGCGGGUGGCCUCGCUCGAUGUGUUCCGCGGUCUCACCGUCGCCAUGAUGAUACUCGUGGACGACGCCGGCGGGGCGUGGCCGGGGAUAAACCACGCGCCGUGGUUCGGGGUGACUGUGGCGGACUUCGUCAUGCCGGCCUUCCUCUUCAUCAUCGGCGUCUCCGCCGCCCUCGUCUUCAAGAAAACACCAAACAAGAUAGCAACAUCCAAGAAGGCUGCAUGUAGGGCUAUCAAGCUUUUCAUCUUGGGCGUAAUUUUGCAAGGAGGAUACAUUCAUGGACGGCACAAAUUAACUUAUGGCGUUGAUUUGGAUCAUAUUCGAUGGCUAGGUGUGUUACAGAGAAUAGCUAUUGGAUACUUUCUAGCAGCAAUUUCUGAGAUUUGGCUUGUGAACAAUACUUCGGUGGAUUCGACAGUAUCAUUUGUGAAGAAGUACUUCGUGGAGUGGAUCAUGGCCAUAAUGAUUUCAGCUCUGUACAUUGGCUUGGUAUUUGGUCUAUAUGUUCCAAACUGGGAAUUUAAAGUUCAGACUAGCAGUUCGGCCUUUUCAAAUCCAACCAAUGAUGUUGGGUUCAAAACGGUCCAGUGUGGACUUAGAGGUAGUCUUGGACCACCUUGCAAUGCAGUUGGCUUUGUAGAUCGGGUUUUGCUUGGGGAAAGUCACCUGUACAAGAACCCAGUGUACAAAAGAACUAAGGAAUGCAGUAUUAAUUCCCCUGAUUAUGGACCGCUUCCUCCGAAUGCGCCAGACUGGUGCCUGGCUCCCUUUGACCCGGAGGGUUUAUUAAGUACAUUGAUGGCUGCAGUGAGUUGCUUUGUUGGUUUGCAUUUUGGUCAUGUCUUGAUUCAUUGCAAGACUCAUUCACAGCGAAUGAUGUCAUGGCUGCUAGCUUCAACGGUGCUAACAGUCUCAGGAUUUUUAUUACAAUUAUUAGGUAUGCCUUUCAGCAAGCCUUUGUAUACUGUGAGCUACAUGCUGCUGGCUGGUGGAGUAUCCGGGUUCCUUCUGUUGCUGCUAUACGGCAUAGUCGAUGUUAUCCACAUCAAGAAGCCAUUAAUUCUGUUCCAGUGGAUGGGCAUGAAUGCGCUUAUAGUAUAUGUCCUGGCAGCUUGUGAGCUCUUCCCUACGCUUAUUCAAGGGUUCUACUGGCGGUCACCCGAGAACAACCUGGUGGAUGCCACGGAGUCUCUGCUCCAGGCCAUCUUCCAUUCGAAACGUUGGGGCACCUUGGCCUUCGUCCUCGUGGAGAUCAUCUUCUGGUGCUUGGCUGCCUGCUUCCUCCACAUGAAAGGCGUUUACCUGAAACUGUAG